CSSGARAAWCGGUGCUUAUUCAUUAGGUACCGUCAUUAUCUUCCCUAAUAAAAGGAGUUUACACACCGAAAUGCGUCAUCCUCCACGCGGCGUUGCUGCAUCAGAGUUUCCUCCAUUGUGCAAUAUUCCUCACUGCUGCCUCCCGUAGGAGUCUGGACCGUGUCUCAGUUCCAGUGUGUCUGAUCAUCCUCUCAAACCAGAUAUCCGUCAUAGGCUUGGUGAGCCAUUACCUCACCAACUACCUGAUGGAACAUAGACUGAUCCCUUAGCGAAAAACUUUCCCGACUUACCUUAUAGUAAGAAGGAGUAUCCGGUAUUAAUCACCGUUUCCAGUGGCUAUCCCGAACUAAGGGGCACACUAUCUAUGCAUUACUCACCCGUGCGCCACUAAUCAGGAGAGCAAGCUCUCCAUCAUCGUUCGACUUGCAUGUGUUAGGCACGCCGCCAGCGUUCACUCUGAGCCAGGAUCAAACUCUAAUCGAAUUCCCGCGGCCGCCAUGGCGGCCGGGAGCAUGCGACGUCGGGCCCAAUUCGCCCUAUAGUGAGUCGUAUACAUUCAY
This 560-nucleotide ribosomal RNA is filed under the name uncultured delta proteobacterium. Its description in RNAcentral is "partial 16S ribosomal RNA". Lineage: Bacteria; Deltaproteobacteria. The record is from RNAcentral.